GCCACCGUAGCUUGCUUGUAGGCGCAUGCGCGGCUUGCGCGACCGGUACGCGGAAGUGGUAGCGCCCCAGCUCCGGGGGACAGGGUGGGUUGGGUUAGUUUUCUCUGCUCUCCUGGGCCGGGAAGGCCCGUAGGGUCGCAGCUUGCUGCACUCGCCAAGUGAAAGGAUUUAGAGAUGUUGGGGCGUGUCCGUUUCCCCAGCUAAUAAGUACUGUUGUAGCCAACUUUGCCGAGAGCCGGAAGGGAGCCCAGCCCGCGAGACGCCCGCACCCACCCUCGCCCGCGGCUCCCGCCGGCCGGCUCACUGGCGCCCGCCUCCCGGCUCUUUCCGUGGGAGCGAGUCCGCACCGCCUCGGGGACCCACAGACCUCUGAGAGUGUUCACAAGCCCACGUACGCCUUCGAGUCCAGCGCUGGAGCGGGCUUGAGGCGGUGAGGUCCUGACGGCGUGCAGGCGGGGUCGGCCUGAGGGGUCGAACUUGUUUCUGCCGUCCGUAAACUCGGCGGGAAGAGCCAACCCCACAAGGCACCAAGACCUGACCUGUGCAACUGCCUGCUCUUGCCUUUCACACGGCUCGCAAGCUGGAGUGGUGAUGACCAGGGUGACCUUGGGUGGCAGACCUACCGUCAGCCUGGGUCCCUGCAGGACUACAUGGAAGAGAGCUUCUUGCCAACCUGGACUAGCUUCUGCAGGAAAGUCCGAUGAGCGAGAAAGAGAGAGACAGAGCGAGCACACAAGUAC
Molecule: long non-coding RNA, 740 nt
Organism: Neogale vison (American mink)
Lineage: Eukaryota; Metazoa; Chordata; Mammalia; Carnivora; Mustelidae
Exons: 3
Source: RefSeq, a predicted model, not a curated record